AUGCUCGCCAUGGUUUCAGUCAUGUUUGCUGUCUUUUGCCUGAAAGUGCACUCGUUUCGUAGAUGCCAAAUUCCUCCCAGCACCAGAAUGAUCAUUGUCUUGACUCCCUUCUUGUGCUCAGGCCUUGCACCGUUUAUGAUCUCAGUUAUAAUCUCCAUGGCUUUGCUCUUGUGUUGCCAGCUUGUGGGGUGCAUGGAACUGCAUCCGUUUCCUUGGGCAGCUCUGGUCCAGAUUUCAGCUGAGAAAGGGCACUGCCAGAAGAGAUGUUGCGAGGUCUCCAAGUUUCUGAGGCAAAGCUGGCAGAAGCACUCAUUCGGCCAGCCUCUUCUUUGGAGCCGGUCAUUGCACCAUAGCCUGUUCUUGAGCAGCAGCCAGACCAUGAAUUUCAGCCGGGCCGGUGCCCAAACCUGCCAUGGCAUCUUUCUGAAGUUUGUCUUGAUCAUCCCGUGGAAUUGGCAGCUGUAG
Molecule: ribosomal RNA, 465 nt
Filed under: Triticum aestivum (bread wheat)
Lineage: Eukaryota; Viridiplantae; Streptophyta; Magnoliopsida; Poales; Poaceae
Description: partial small subunit ribosomal RNA
Source: RNAcentral